UGCGUAGGCGGAUGUGCAGGCGUCGUGUGAAAGCCCUCGGCUCAACCGGGGAAUUGCACGGCGAACCGCACGUCUCGAGACAAGUAGGGGCGGUCGGAACGAUAGGUGGAGUGGUGAAAUGCGUUGAUAUCUAUCGGAACGCCAAAGGUGAAGACAGACCGCUGGGCUUGUUCUGACGCUGAGGCACGAAAGCGUGGGGAGCAAACG
This 207-nucleotide ribosomal RNA is filed under the name uncultured bacterium. RNAcentral's name for it is "partial 16S ribosomal RNA". It matches the Rfam family "Bacterial small subunit ribosomal RNA", at positions 568 to 774 of the family's 1533-position model. The record is from RNAcentral.